RNAcentral lists this long non-coding RNA (298 nucleotides) under Bos taurus (domestic cattle). RNAcentral describes it as "long non-coding RNA NONBTAT000398". The record is from RNAcentral. Lineage: Eukaryota; Metazoa; Chordata; Mammalia; Artiodactyla; Bovidae.
AGUGGUAUGUUGAGUUUGGGAAUGCUUCAUAAUUCAUCAAAUUUUCAUUUGGUUUUCCACACUGAAAUGAAAGUAUACUGUAUGAAAAAUAUAGAGAGAUCAGAUCUGAUACCAACUCUUAAAAAGAAUUGAAGCUGGAGAACAAUCCAUUAAAUCAGUUAGCCUUAAUCACAAAAAUGCAACAUUCUAAAGCAAUGGUAAUAGGUUUAAUUUACAAUAGGAUGUAUCCAUAAUAUGAUAAAACAUUUUAAAGAUGAAGUUAGUUAGGGUGUGUUCAUUACAAUAGGAGUUAGGCAGA